This is a long non-coding RNA of Beta vulgaris subsp. vulgaris (sugar beet), 633 nucleotides long. RefSeq lists it as uncharacterized. The transcript is spliced from 3 exons. The record is from RefSeq and is a predicted model, not a curated record. Lineage: Eukaryota; Viridiplantae; Streptophyta; Magnoliopsida; Caryophyllales; Amaranthaceae.
CUGUUUUUAGCUCGAUCAUAUCCAUUACAGGUGGAGUCAUGUUCGUGGUCUUUGAAAUUCGGAUUACCAAACUCCAGUCUCUCGUGACUGAACUUGUAGUGUUUACCAGCUCAUUCAGUAUCUAGCAUGAAUUAUAUCUUUCUCCCUGGUGUCAAAUGGGAACUUUUUAACAAUUAGAAGUUUGAUGAAAUUGAUUCAAUAUCUUAUGAUGAAGUUCAGACUGCAAGGAGCUUUGCUUGACAAGGUUGGUUUAUUAACUUAGGUCGCUUGUUUGAAAUGUGAAUCUGGCAGCCUGCAGGUCCCUAUUUUGGCCUCUACAAGACUGCAACUUUUUUACAAUUGUUAACUUAUCACUAAUAAGGCGACAAGCAAUUCCUGAUAAGUACUUUGGCGGAGUUACAACUGAAUUUUCUCAAAAUAAGCUUGAUGAGCUCAGAGACUUGUGGAUCAAAUAUGUGGAUGAGUAUAAACAAGUGGAUGAAGAAGAAUUGGAAGAUAAUGACUAUUUUAAUUAGGAUGUGUGUAUUUUCUUUUUGAGCGGGAUUAGGGAGGUGCUUCUAUUUUUGUGCACAUGAAUUGGAAGAAACGAUAGGCCUAGGUGUUCUCUUAUUUUUUUAUAACUUAGUUGAAUCU